Molecule: long non-coding RNA, 1595 nt
Organism: Gouania willdenowi (blunt-snouted clingfish)
Lineage: Eukaryota; Metazoa; Chordata; Actinopteri; Blenniiformes; Gobiesocidae
Product: protein PXR1-like
Source: Ensembl
UUUACUCCUUUGAGAGACUGGUAGCUUUUUGGUAACGUCCACAAGUUUUGCAUCUAACAUUUUAAAAUGGAGAAAAUAAACAUCACAGCAGAGACAGAAGUUUCUUCUGAUAAAUCAUCUUGUAAUGAACCAGCUAAUCCCAAGUGUAAUCAAUGUGGGAAGAUGCUUAAUCAAGAAAGAGAAAUGGAUUCCAUCCUUUCACUGGAUGAGGCACAUCAGGAACUGAAGGUCAAGUUGGAAGAAAAGGACCAAAUGUUGAAGCUAAAGGAAGAGGAAAUCACUUACCUUACAUUUUUACUGGAUGAGAUGGAAAAAGAAUUAGACGUGAAAAACAGCCAGUGGGAGGACAGCCUUAAACUUAAACUGGAGGAGCUACGUGAGAAGGUCCAGGCUCAGAAGAAGCAGUUGGAUGAAGUAAAGGCUGCUUUGUUGGACAUUAAAAACGAGCUUCAGAAGAAGGAACAAAUGUUCUUAAAGCAGAAAGAUAAACAACAAAAAACGAUUUCACAUUUGAAGGCCACUCUGAAAAUGAAGGAGGAGGACCUAAAAAGCCGCACAGACCAAUGGAACCAACUGGAGGAGAAUGAAAAAGCUGUGAAAGCGAUCACAGAAAAGGAAGCUCUCUGCAAUAAUGAGAACCAGUCAACACAAACGCAGGUACUACAGACUGCCCUGGAUGAAGCACAGAAAAAAAUUGUGGAAAUGGAAGAGGAGCGGUCCAACCACAUCAAGACUAUGUCCAUCAUGAAGGCCACGCUCACUGAAACACAGGAAGCCUUCACCAAAUUGCAAGCCACAAUUCAGGAGCAGAAGCAGGAGAAGGAGAAAGAGAAGAAGCAGAAGCAGGGGAAGGAGGAAGAGAAGGAGAAGGAGGAGAAGAAGGAGAAGGAGGAAGCAAAUGAGAAGGAGGAGAAGAAGGAGAAGGAGCAAAAGAAGGAGAAGAGGCAGAAGCACGGGAAGGAGGAAGCAAAGGAGGAGGAGGAGAAGAAGGAGAAGGAGCAAAAGAAUGAGAAGAGGCAGAAGCAUGGGAAGGACGAAGUGAAGGAGGUGGAGGAGAAGAAGGAGAAGGAGCAAAAGAAGGAGAAGAGGCAGAAGCAGGGGAAGGAGGAAGCAAAGGAGGAGGAGGAGAAGAAGGAGAAGGAGCAAAAGAAGGAGAAGAGGCAGAAGCAGGGGAAGGAGGAAGUGAAGGAGGUGGAGGAGAAGAAGGAGAAGGAGCAAAAGAAGGAGAAGAGGCAGAAGCAGGGGCAGGAGGAAGAGAAGGAGAAGGAGAAGAAGAAGGAGAAGGAGAAGAAGAAGGAGAAGGAGAAGGAGAAGAAGAAAGACAAGGAGCAAAAGAAGGAGAAGGCAGCUUCUAAUGACAACCCGAUAAAGAAAUGGUUCAAAAACCUGUUUAGAACCAAAAGAAAAUAAGGAUGGUGCUGCAGAUGGAUGAUGUGAACAGUAACUGGUGUAACAACGUGACAGUGAUCCUUCAGCACUGCUCUCCUCAGAACAACCAGAAUAUCGGCGCAUGUUUGUGUCAAACUUACGUGUCCUGAUGUCAUUCCAUUCAUCUGAAUUUGGACCGAGGACCUCCUGUGUGUCACUGAAGGGAU